This 1249-nucleotide long non-coding RNA is filed under the name Monodelphis domestica (gray short-tailed opossum). RNAcentral's name for it is "lncRNA (ENSMODG00000031095.2)". The record is from RNAcentral. Lineage: Eukaryota; Metazoa; Chordata; Mammalia; Didelphimorphia; Didelphidae.
AUAAAAUGAAGGGUCUGCACCAGAAAAAGAAAUCAUUUUUAAGCUCUAUGAUAAGGGUUCUAGGUGGCAUAGUGGAUGUAGCCCUUAACACAGAGUCAGGAACAUGAGGCUGAAUCCCACGACAGAUGUUAACAAUAUGUAUCUGGGAAAAUCAUGACCUCUGUCAGUCUCAACUUCCUUAUCUGUAAACCGGGAAUACAAACAACCUUCCUCACUUGUUGUAAGGAUUAAAUGAGAUAAUAGAUGUAUGACACUUUGCAAACCUUAAGGUGAUGUUUAAAAUUUAGUUACUAUUAUUACACUGAGUGUUAUUGAGUUCAUUGGUUGCAAUGAAAAGCAACAUUAAAACUGAAUAGACUUCACUCAUUCCUUAAAUGCUCUAGUAAGUAGUAAAGGCAAAUCUUCAUUUUCCAGACUUGCACAAAAUGUCCAUUGAAUAUUUUGAAUUUGAUAUACCACUGGUGUCUUCAAUUCGAUAUGUCUAAAACAAAAUUCAGUUUCUUUCUCUCCAAAUCUACCUGUCUUCCAAAUUUCCCUAUCAAUCCCAGAGUCCUGCUCAACUCUUCACUCUCAUUUCAGUAACCAAUCAGUUACAAAAUCUUGUUAUUUCUACCUGCACAGGACUUCCGGGUAAACAUAGCUGCAAUCUAGACGCAAAUCACUUUCUCUCCCAGGCACCAAGAGAAAUAGACUACCUUAAAAAGCAUAAAAAUAACCUUUGGAAGAGAGGAGGGACUCUCCAGUACCCCCACAGAAAUGAAGACUUGAUCUCCAUAUAUUACCCCAAAAUGGAAGUGCAGGGACUACUUCUGAACCAAUCCCAUUAUUUAUGGGCCCAGGAGCUUUGACCUGUUAACACUCCCAAAACUGGCUGGAUCAUCACAUCUGAGAAAACCUAGUAGCCCUCCCACCUGGGGAGGGGGAGAAUGUGGGAGAAGGGACCACCAUAUUAAUUAAUGGUGAAUUUUGUCUGCAUAUCAAUGCUCAGAAUUCCUGCACUCAAGAGAUCCUUCAGGUUCUGCCUCCCCAGGACUGCGAAUAAUAAUCAUCUUCCAUUGUUUCUGGCUCUAAUGUCCUUUCAAGUUUUACAUCCUAUAUACUCCUGAAAGAUUAAAGAUGGAGAGCUGAAAAGGAAAGAAGAGGUCAUCCAGUCCAACUCUGCAUUUUACAGAAAAAGAAACUAAAGCAAGGAAAAUUUAACAGAUUGCCCAAGUCAAAGGAAGAAAAUAAAUGGCAGAGCUGUGGUUCA